Molecule: RNA transcript, 1842 nt
Organism: Lycium barbarum (goji berry)
Lineage: Eukaryota; Viridiplantae; Streptophyta; Magnoliopsida; Solanales; Solanaceae
Gene name: ribonuclease J-like
Exons: 12
Source: RefSeq, a predicted model, not a curated record
GACUCGACAUUUUUUAUCAAAAUUUCAUUUUUUGUUAAACCUAGACACCAUACACACAAUAACUAGGUUCUACACCCAUUGUAAUCUUCCACCAUCUUCCAUAGCCAUUUUCACCAUGUAAAUCACUGUGAACCGCCACUCUUUCAUCACCCUUUACAACCAUGAAAAUAGGCCUUUACCCUCAACCCACCAUUUCUCCACCAUCGAAACCAUUUAAAAAAUCCCUUUGAAACACCCCUGUCUUCUGUCAAGUUUAAGGUUGAAGUUUCGGAAUUCCGGUCAACGGUUCGGUACGGUGUUAACGUUGAGUUAAUUAGAGAUUCAUUGCUAAAAUUGGAUCUUGUUCAAGUCUGCUGUCAAUUAUUUUGUUGUUGGGACGUUUGUAUGCAAAGGUUAUUUCUUGAAUAAGAGUUGCGAAGAAGAUUACCUCUGCUAAAAAGUGGCUACUAUCAUUGUCUUCCCUUCAGUUAAGCCUGUCAAUUGGGUCGGGUCGACCUGGGACCAGCCCACCUAACCCGGCCCAGCCCCCAACCCAGUAAGAGGGUGGUCACUACUAAAAAAGAUUGGAUUUCCGGACCUCAAAAAACCGACCUCAUGAGGGACUCACCAUCGCCGCCAUCCCUGAUCAGUACCGCCGUCACCGUCGCCACCGUCCCUAAUCAGUACCGCCGUCGCCGUCUCCUCCACAGUCAACCAUUUGAGGCUAUGCCUAGAAAGAAGAGGUCAUCUUUUCAUACCGUUCCCUCUCUUAUGCAUAAAGAUCAAAUAUCUCUAUCUAUAGAACCUAUAACGGUCACCCAUUCUAUUCCAGAUUGUAGUGGAAUAGCAUUAUGUUGUUCUGAUGGUACCAUCCUCCAUACAGGUGACUGGAAGAUAGAUGAGUCACCACUUGAUGGGAAGGUUUUUGACCGUGAGGCCCUUGAGGAACUCUCAAAAGAAGGUGUUACUUUGAUGAUGAGUGAUUCAACAAAUGUCCUUUCCCCUGGAAGGACACUCAGUGAAUUUGUAGUUGCAGAUUCGUUGCUGAGGCACAUUUCGGCUGCAAAAGGAAGGGUUAUCACUACUCAGUUUGCAUCAAAUAUUCAUCGUCUUGGCAGUGUGAAAGCUGCAGCUGACUUAACUGGCAGAAAGCUGGUAUUUGUUGGCAUGUCCUUGAGGACAUAUCUUGACGCUGCAUGGAAAGAUGGGAAAGCACUCAUCGACCCAUCAACGCUGGUAAAGGUGGAAGAUAUUGAUGCUUAUGCCCCAAAAGAUUUGCUGAUUGUGACAACAGGUUCUCAAGCAGAACCACGUGCUGCAUUGAAUCUUGCGUCAUAUGGAAGUAGUCAUUCCCUCAAAUUAAACAAAGAAGAUCUAGUUUUAUAUUCACCCAAGGUUCAGAGAAUCUGAAAAGCGAGCAACAUUAUGAGAUAAAUUUAGAGAAUACUGAAGCAAAGGCCAGUGCCAGUUCCAGAUGAGGAUGCACUGAGAAAUAGUGACAUUUCACUAGAUGACAAGUUGUUACCAUUUGUUUUGUAUCGUUUAUCUUCACUAUCUCAACAGAUCAUCAGUUCUUUGAAAAGAGGGAAAAUUAAAGGCUACCCAGUUUGGGGUAAUCCAAACAGCAUGGACGCAUUUUUAAAUGAGAAUUCACCGCCCUUGCUGCAUGCCUGAGCUAUAAAGAUAUCUAGCAGGAAAAGAAAGAAUUUGUCUUUGAUCCAGAAAUCAAUAUCAACAUUCAAAGGCGGAAUUUCUUCGUACUCAGCCACCCGACACACAGGUGACAGAAGAACAAAUGGAGAAAAGGUGGCUUGAGAGUGUUGGUGGUCCCACUAGUUUAAUGUUUUGUGGAUGUUUGCAAAG